Molecule: transfer RNA, 75 nt
Filed under: Rhodospirillaceae bacterium
Lineage: Bacteria; Pseudomonadati; Pseudomonadota; Alphaproteobacteria; Rhodospirillales; Rhodospirillaceae
Description: tRNA-Val
Rfam family: tRNA
About the family: Transfer RNA (tRNA) molecules are approximately 80 nucleotides in length. Their secondary structure includes four short double-helical elements and three loops (D, anti-codon, and T loops).
Source: RNAcentral
GGGCGCGUAGCUCAGUGGGAGAGCACUCGCUUCACACGCGAGGGGUCGCAAGUUCAAUCCUUGCCGCGCCCACCA